RNAcentral lists this ribosomal RNA (253 nucleotides) under uncultured bacterium. Its description in RNAcentral is "partial 16S ribosomal RNA". It matches the Rfam family "Bacterial small subunit ribosomal RNA", at positions 524 to 776 of the family's 1533-position model. The record is from RNAcentral.
UACGGGGGGGGCAAGCGUUGUUCGGAAUUACUGGGCGUAAAGGGCUUGUAGGUGGCCAACUAAGUCAGACGUGAAAUCCCUCGGCUUAACCGGGGAACUGCGUCUGAUACUGGAUGGCUGGAGUGUGGGAGAGGGAUGCGGAAUUCCAGGUGUAGCGGUGAAAUGCGUAGAUAUCGAGAGGAACACCUGCGGCGAAGGCGGGUAGCUGGGCCGACACUGACGCUGAGGCGCGAAAGCCAGGGGAGCGAACGGG